UACGAAGGGGACUAGCGUUGUUCGGAAUUAUUGGGCGUAAAGAGCUCGUAGGCGGUCUGUCGCGUCUGCUGUGAAAACUCAGGGCUUAACCCUGAGCUUGCAGUGGGUACGGGCAGACUAGAGUGCGGUAGGGGAGACUGGAAUUCCUGGUGUAGCGGUGAAAUGCGCAGAUAUCAGGAGGAACACCGGUGGCGAAGGCGGGUCUCUGGGCCGUAACUGACGCUGAGGAGCGAAAGCAUGGGGAGCGAACAGG
RNAcentral lists this ribosomal RNA (253 nucleotides) under uncultured bacterium. Its description in RNAcentral is "partial 16S ribosomal RNA". It matches the Rfam family "Bacterial small subunit ribosomal RNA", at positions 524 to 776 of the family's 1533-position model. The record is from RNAcentral.